CGCGGUAUAUUUUACAUCACCGGCCACCAUGCAUGCAUUAGACUAGAGCCCUUUAUUCCCAUUGCUCAUCUGCCGCGAUUAGUUAUUAACUAGUAAUCCAGUGCUCGGGUCACCGGUGUCUCCUGCUAGCCAGCUAGCUUAGCCAUGAUUUCAGGCCAUGCGGAUGCGGGGGCGAAUAUUAGCUUCGUCCCUUCAGUGAGUGAGUUAGUGCGGUGUUCAAACACGCUGGUCGCUCGCUAGUGGCCGCCGUUGGGCCGGAGAUAUUUGAACCAUUUUUAUACCUUGUAAAAUAAGAUCUCAUAUCGUAACCUCGGCGACCGGAGCACUACUACUGUUACUAUCAGUACAGUACUCCAUUAUUAAGUAGCAGCACAGUGGUAGUUGCUAAUGCAUGCUGCAGCCAGUGGUGGCGUGAAACGAGAGAGUGCUUGGUGUGGAUGGAAGUGAAAGAAAACGACGGGCCCUGGCUGGUUCCAUUGAACUCGACUCGGCUGGAUUGAAUUGAAUUCAGCUAGUGCGGAGCUCACAUCAAGAUAUGCUAUGCAAUUCCGUCGUCCUGGCUGGACCGACCGGGACAUGCAUGAAUGCUGUGACAUUGCAUAUCAUAUCAUCAUCUCUUGGGCNNNN
Molecule: long non-coding RNA, 627 nt
Filed under: Hordeum vulgare
Lineage: Eukaryota; Viridiplantae; Streptophyta; Magnoliopsida; Poales; Poaceae
Description: long non-coding RNA (HVUL_LNC008456)
Source: RNAcentral